GGAAAAGAGAAGGAAAAAGAAAACACCUUUGUAUGCGCGCAGGUUGGGGAGAUGAAUUAACUUUUAAAAAAACUUCUUCUUCAAAGGCGCCUCUCGAUUUAGUUGUUUUGCUUCUCUCUCUCUCUAAAUUCUCCCUCUCCCUCUUAACAUUUCUCCAUUGCCAAGGGCUCAAUCCAUUCCGAUCCAUUCCUCACUAUCCUCCUUCAAACUGAAGUGUAGCGUCUUCCCAUCCUUCUAGGGCUUCCAAUUCUUUUUUGUCUCUCACAUGAUUCUUGAAAUUUAGGGUUUUUUUCAUCUGUUGGUUUUGGGGGUUUAGUGGGGUGGAGAAAUGAAGGGUUCUUAGAUAUUUUUGACCCCAUGGCCGGUCGGGAUGGAUCCCAAUUAUUCUCGUGCCUCUUAUGCUUCAUCAUCCGACGUUUAUUUUGGAUUUUCUUUUAGCGAUAGUAAUUUCUCUGAUCGUUUUCUCUGGAUUGAGAUUAUGGGGGAACCAUUGCAGUCCUGUCUUAAUGAUGUUCGAUGUACUAAGAUCCUCGAUAUGGCUCGACGGAAGAGACGGCGAGUGGAAUGCAAGAAGGAAAACGAAGCAUUGGACAAUAUAGUUGCAUGGUCAUUUGAUAAAGUGAUUAUUGGUGAAUGAAAUGAUGCCUUACUAGAGGAAAAGAGCACCAACAUGACAGCUCAACUAUGUAACAAUAUAAUCUUGAAUACUUGGAGAAUUUUGUAUUUUGAGGACUAAUUAAUGUUGUUGGUACAUUCACUAACUACUUUAUCUAGCUUGUAUAGAUGACAACUUUAUUCUAGAAAAUUAUUGAAUACUUUAUCUUGCAAUGUUAAUAGAUUAUGAAUGGAAGUUAUUAGUA
This is a long non-coding RNA of Benincasa hispida (wax gourd), 860 nucleotides long. RefSeq lists it as uncharacterized. Lineage: Eukaryota; Viridiplantae; Streptophyta; Magnoliopsida; Cucurbitales; Cucurbitaceae. The record is from RefSeq and is a predicted model, not a curated record.